CGGAGGUGAUGUCAAACCCAGUCCUGACCUGCUGUGGAGGGAAAAGACUGAUUUAAUGAGGCUGAUCC
Molecule: small nucleolar RNA, 68 nt
Organism: Apus apus (common swift)
Lineage: Eukaryota; Metazoa; Chordata; Aves; Apodiformes; Apodidae
Source: RefSeq, a predicted model, not a curated record